CUCCGUAGGGGAACCUGCGGAGGGAUCAUGUGGCCUCGGCUAACGGGUCACACCGGGAUGUUCAUAACCCUUUGUUGUCCGACUCUGUUGCCUCCGGGGCGACCCUGCCUUCGGGCGGGGGCUCCGGGUGGACACUUCAAACUCUUGCGUAACUUUGCAGUCUGAGUAAACUUAAUUAAUAAAUUAAAACUUUUAACAACGGAUCUCUUGGUUCUGGCAUCGAUGAAGAACGCAGCGAAAUGCGAUAAGUAAUGUGAAUUGCAGAAUUCAGUGAAUCAUCGAAUCUUUGAACGCACAUUGCGCCCCCUGGUAUUCCGGGGGGCAUGCCUGUUCGAGCGUCAUUUCACCACUCAAGCCUCGCUUGGUAUUGGGCAACGCGGUCCGCCGCGUGCCUCAAAUCGACCGGCUGGGUCUUCUGUCCCCUAAGCGUUGUGGAAACUAUUCGCUAAAGGGUGCUCGGGAGGCUACGCCGUAAAACAAACCCAUUUCUAAGGUUGACCUCGGAUCAGGUAGGGAUACCCGCUGAACUUAAGCAUAUCAAUAAGCGGGGGAA
RNAcentral lists this ribosomal RNA (553 nucleotides) under Cladosporium cladosporioides. RNAcentral describes it as "eukaryotic LSU rRNA". The stretch from base 188 to 341 matches the Rfam family "5.8S ribosomal RNA". The record is from RNAcentral. Lineage: Eukaryota; Fungi; Ascomycota; Dothideomycetes; Cladosporiales; Cladosporiaceae.